This 246-nucleotide ribosomal RNA is filed under the name uncultured bacterium. RNAcentral's name for it is "partial small subunit ribosomal RNA". It matches the Rfam family "Bacterial small subunit ribosomal RNA", at positions 26 to 285 of the family's 1533-position model. The record is from RNAcentral.
AGAAUCAACGCUGGCGGCGUGCCUAACACAUGCAAGUCGAACGAGAAAGUGGAGCAAUCCAUGAGUAAAGUGGCGCACGGGUGAGUAACACGUGACUAACCUACCCUUGAGUGGGGGAUAACCUAGAGAAAUCUGGGCUAAUACCGCAUAAUACCUUCGGGUCAAAGGAGCAAUUCGCUUAAGGAGGGGGUCGCGGCCGAUUAGUUAGUUGGGCGGGGUAAUGGCCCACCAAGACUGUGAUCGGUA